Molecule: ribosomal RNA, 428 nt
Filed under: uncultured eukaryote
Lineage: Eukaryota
Description: bacterial SSU rRNA
Rfam family: Eukaryotic small subunit ribosomal RNA
Source: RNAcentral
CAAGAGCGUAUAUUAAAGUUGUUGCAGUUAAAAAGCUCGUAGUUGGAUUUCUGGUCAAAUGCGCCUGGCCCGCGGCCGUAAGGUCUGUGAGUGCCGGUGCGCGUUUACCAUCCUUCUAGAAAACGUUUCUACCCUUUACUGGGCCGGACUCGCGAUCUAGAUCUUUUACUUUGAAAAAAUUAGAGUGUUUAAAGCAGGCUUUUGCUAUGAAUACAUUAGCAUGGAAUAAUAAGAUAGGACUUUGGUCUAUUUUGUUGGUUUGCAGACCGAAGUAAUGAUUAAUAGGGAUAGUUGGGGGUAUUUAUAUUCCGAUGUCAGAGGUGAAAUUCUUAGAUUUUCGGAAGAUAAACUUAUGCGAAAGCAUUUACCAAGGAUGUUUUCAUUAAUCAAGAACGAAAGUUAGGGGAUCGAAGACGAUCAGAUACCGU